RNAcentral lists this ribosomal RNA (483 nucleotides) under uncultured bacterium. RNAcentral describes it as "partial 16S ribosomal RNA". It matches the Rfam family "Bacterial small subunit ribosomal RNA", at positions 30 to 507 of the family's 1533-position model. The record is from RNAcentral.
AUUGAACGCUGGCGGCAGGCCUAACACAUGCAAGUCGAGCGGAUGAAGGGAGCUUGCUCCUGGAUUCAGCGGCGGACGGGUGAGUAAUGCCUAGGAAUCUGCCUGGUAGUGGGGGAUAACGUCCGGAAACGGGCGCUAAUACCGCAUACGUCCUGAGGGAGAAAGUGGGGAUCUUCGGACCUCACGCUAUCGGAUGAGCCUAGGUCGGAUUAGCUAGUUGGUGGGGUAAAGGCCUACCAAGGCGACGAUCCGUAACUGGUCUGAGAGGAUGAUCAGUCACACUGGAACUGAGACACGGUCCAGACUCCUACGGGAGGCAGCAGUGGGGAAUAUUGGACAAUGGGCGAAAGCCUGAUCCAGCCAUGCCGCGUGUGUGAAGAAGGUCUUCGGAUUGUAAAGCACUUUAAGUUGGGAGGAAGGGCAGUAAGUUAAUACCUUGCUGUUUUGACGUUACCAACAGAAUAAGCACCGGCUAACUUCGUG